Long non-coding RNA from Heterocephalus glaber (naked mole-rat), 457 nucleotides. The record is from Ensembl. Lineage: Eukaryota; Metazoa; Chordata; Mammalia; Rodentia; Bathyergidae.
UUUGCAACCUUAGUCAGGGAGACAAACAUAUAAACAAACAGUACAGUGUGCAUCAAGGGGAGUGUGGAUGGCACAGAGCUGACAAGUAAGGAACUUGAAGCAGAUUCCUUAUAGGAUAGCCAAUUUCUUAUUGGAUGGCUUCCUGAUGAUCACUUUUUCUAGGGAUUUAUCGAGACUUUAGAGUCAGAAGUGACCUUCAAGAUUGUUUGAUACAGCGGUCUUGUGAAAUGAAACCUGUCUCGCAGCUAUUAUAAUACAGGUAUGGAACAUUCUCAAGAAAACAGGUCAUCCAGGGAUCUUCUGUGGAUUAUGUGUCACAGACUUCCUGUAUAGUUGAAAGUUGAGAGCUUCCUAUUAACAUCAGCUCUUUAGUCCACUUCCCAGCUUCAGGGAUUUGUGUACACUGUAUCAGAGUGGCCACUGAAAGUAAAAACUAAGCAGGUAGCAGGUGGUCGGU